CAGGUUCGAAGAAAUGAAAAGUUGCACUCUGUCAAAACUAAGUAGCAGUAUUAUGUAAGCCAACUUAAAGGAAUUUAGAAUAGCACUGUUACUAUUUUACUUAUAUCACAUACCUAGAGUACCGCCGAUUAUAUUUCAUAUUCUAAGGAUAGAAUUGCCUCUGGCAUCACAAAUUGAAAAAUACAGUCCACUACUCCAUGCAACUGAUAGUCUUAUAGUCAUUGAACAAUAAUCGUGAAGAUUCAGUUUUUGUGAUUAUUGUGAGAUCAUUAUAUGAGUCGGUUUUAUGCUAGAAAGGAUGAAACCUCAAAAGGGGAGUUACACACCUUGCUCAAGCUAUGC
This 342-nucleotide long non-coding RNA is filed under the name Daucus carota (carrot). RNAcentral describes it as "long non-coding RNA (DCAR_LNC006879)". Lineage: Eukaryota; Viridiplantae; Streptophyta; Magnoliopsida; Apiales; Apiaceae. The record is from RNAcentral.